This 72-nucleotide transfer RNA is filed under the name Ixodes scapularis (black-legged tick). RNAcentral describes it as "tRNA-Gln for anticodon CUG". It matches the Rfam family "tRNA". From Rfam's summary of the family: Transfer RNA (tRNA) molecules are approximately 80 nucleotides in length. Their secondary structure includes four short double-helical elements and three loops (D, anti-codon, and T loops). The record is from RNAcentral. Lineage: Eukaryota; Metazoa; Arthropoda; Arachnida; Ixodida; Ixodidae.
GGUCUCAUGGUGUAACGGUUAGCACUCUGGACUCUGAAUCCAGUAAUCCGAGUUCAAAUCUCGGUGAGACCU